AGCGAGUGGCGGACGGGUGAGUAACACGUAGGUAACCUGCCCCAAAGCGGGGGAUAACAUUUGGAAACAGAUGCUAAUACCGCAUAACAAUUUGAAUCGCAUGAUUCAAAUUUAAAAGAUGGCUUCGGCUAUCACUUUGGGAUGGACCUGCGGCGCAUUAGCUUGUUGGUAGGGUAACGGCCUACCAAGGCUGUGAUGCGUAGCCGAGUUGAGAGACUGAUCGGCCACAAUGGAACUGAGACACGGUCCAUACUCCUACGGGAGGCAGCAGUAGGGAAUCUUCCACAAUGGGCGCAAGCCUGAUGGAGCAACACCGCGUGAGUGAAGAAGGGUUUCGGCUCGUAAAGCUCUGUUGUUAGAGAAGAACGUGCGUGAGAGCAACUGUUCACGCAGUGACGGUAUCUAACCAGAAAGUCACGGCUAACUACGUGCCAGCAGCCGCGGUAAUACGUAGGUGGCAAGCGUUAUCCGGAUUUAUUGGGCGUAAAGCGAGCGCAGGCGGUUUGAUAAGUCUGAUGUGAAAGCCUUUGGCUUAACCAAAGAAGUGCAUCGGAAACUGUCAGACUUGAGUGCAGAAGAGGACAGUGGAACUCCAUGUGUAGCGGUGGAAUGCGUAGAUAUAUGGAAGAACACCAGUGGCGAAGGCGGCUGUCUGGUCUGCAACUGACGCUGAGGCUCGAAAGCAUGGGUAGCGAACAGGAUUAGAUACCCUGGUAGUCCAUGCCGUAAACGAUGAGUGCUAGGUGUUGGAGGGUUUCCGCCCUUCAGUGCCGCAGCUAACGCAUUAAGCACUCCGCCUGGGGAGUACGACCGCAAGGUUGAAACUCAAAGGAAUUGACGGGGGCCCGCACAAGCGGUGGAGCAUGUGGUUUAAUUCGAAGCUACGCGGAAGAACCUUACCAGGUCUUGACAUCUUGCGCCAACCCUAGAGAUAGGGCGUUUCCUUCGGGAACGCAAUGACAGGUGGUGCAUGGUCGUCGUCAGCUCGUGUCGUGAGAUGUUGGGUUAAGUCCCGCAACGAGCGCAACCCUUGUUACUAGUUGCCAGCAUUCAGUUGGGCACUCUAGUGAGACUGCCGGUGACAAACCGGAGGAAGGUGGGGACGACGUCAGAUCAUCAUGCCCCUUAUGACCUGGGCUACACACGUGCUACAAUGGACGGUACAACGAGUCGCGAACUCGCGAGGGCAAGCUAAUCUCUUAAAACCGUUCUCAGUUCGGACUGCAGGCUGCAACUCGCCUGCACGAAGUCGGAAUCGCUAGUAAUCGCGGAUCAGCAUGCCGCGGUGAAUACGUUCCCGGGCCUUGU
RNAcentral lists this ribosomal RNA (1308 nucleotides) under Limosilactobacillus mucosae. Its description in RNAcentral is "bacterial SSU rRNA". It matches the Rfam family "Bacterial small subunit ribosomal RNA", at positions 90 to 1384 of the family's 1533-position model. Lineage: Bacteria; Bacillati; Bacillota; Bacilli; Lactobacillales; Lactobacillaceae. RNAcentral also lists the same sequence under 1 other name. The record is from RNAcentral.